UGGGGAAUAUUGCACAAUGGGCGCAAGCCUGAUGCAGCCAUGCCGCGUGUAUGAAGAAGGCCUUCGGGUUGUAAAGUACUCUCAGCGGGGAGGAAGGGAGUAAAGUUAAUACCUUUGCUCAUUGACGUUACCGACAGAAGAAGCACCGGCUAACUCCGUGCCAGCAGCCGCGGUAAUACGGAGGGUGCAAGCGUUAAUCGGAAUUACUGGGCGUAAAGCGCACGCAGGCGGUUGAUUGAGUCAGAUGUGAAAUCCCCGGGCUUAACCCGGGAAUUGCAUCUGAUACUGGUCAGCUAGAGUCUUGUAGAGGGGGGUAGAAUUCCAUGUGUAGCUGUGAAAUGCGUAGAGAUGUGGGGGAAUACCGGUGGCGAGGGCGGCCCCCUGGACAAAGACUGACGCUCAGGUGCGAAAGCGUGGGGAGCAAACAGA
RNAcentral lists this ribosomal RNA (429 nucleotides) under Chloroflexota bacterium. Its description in RNAcentral is "Chloroflexi bacterium partial 16S ribosomal RNA". It matches the Rfam family "Bacterial small subunit ribosomal RNA", at positions 355 to 776 of the family's 1533-position model. Lineage: Bacteria; Bacillati; Chloroflexota. The record is from RNAcentral.